RNAcentral lists this ribosomal RNA (237 nucleotides) under uncultured Staphylococcus sp. RNAcentral's name for it is "partial 16S ribosomal RNA". It matches the Rfam family "Bacterial small subunit ribosomal RNA", at positions 103 to 334 of the family's 1533-position model. Lineage: Bacteria; Bacillati; Bacillota; Bacilli; Caryophanales; Staphylococcaceae. The record is from RNAcentral.
CGGGUGAGUAACACGUGGAUAACCUACCUAUAAGACUGGGAUAACUUCGGGAAACCGGAGCUAAUACCGGAUAAUAUAUUGAACCGCAUGGUUCAAUGGUGAAAGACGGUUUUGCUGUCACUUAUAGAUGGAUCCGCGCCGCAUUAGCUAGUUGGUAAGGUAACGGCUUACCAAGGCAACGAUGCGUAGCCGACCUGAGAGGGUGAUCGGCCACACUGGAACUGAGACACGGUCCAG